Molecule: long non-coding RNA, 290 nt
Filed under: Volvox carteri
Lineage: Eukaryota; Viridiplantae; Chlorophyta; Chlorophyceae; Chlamydomonadales; Volvocaceae
Description: long non-coding RNA (VCAR_LNC001351)
Source: RNAcentral
ACGCCAGAACUGGAAGGAGCCUUUGUCCUUUUGUCGAAUCGCCAACAACCGAGACAUCAAUCCCAGCAGCAAGAGCCACCUUUCCUCAUCUUUCUUGUAGCGCGCUCUCACCCACUCUCGCCUUCCCUCCCCAGCUCUCCGAAGCUCACAAGCUGCGGCCUCAUAAAUCUGCGGAGUCGAACACUCCUUUGCGCCCACCAUCACUACGACUGUUCACACGGACACUUACAGACACAACAAAACAACCCUAGACCGCAACAGCUCAGGACAAGCGACCAUAACUCUUUCGG